AGGAUUCCCCUAGUAACUGCGAGUGAAGCGGGAAGAGCUCAAAUUUUGAAUCUGGCGGUCUUUGGCUGUCCGAGUUGUAAUCUAGAGAAGCGUUUUCCGUGCUGGACCGUGUACAAGUCUCCUGGAAGGGAGCGUCAUAGAGGGUGAGAAUCCCGUCUUUGACACGGACUGCCAGUGCUAUGUGAUGCGCUCUCGACGAGUCGAGUUGUUUGGGAAUGCAGCUCAAAACGGGUGGUAAAUUCCAUCUAAAGCUAAAUACAGGCGAGAGACCGAUAGCGAACAAGUACCGUGAGGGAAAGAUGAAAAGAACUUUGGAAAGAGAGUUAAACAGUACGUGAAAUUGCUGAAAGGGAAACGCUUGAUGUCAGUCGCGUCGGCCGGGGAUCAACCUUGCGUUCUCGCUCGGUGUACUUCCUGGUCGACGGGUCAGCAUCAGUUUCGGUCACCGUACAAUGGCGAGGGGAACGUGGCACUCUUCGGAGUGUGUUAUAGCCUUUCGUCGU
This 503-nucleotide ribosomal RNA is filed under the name Boletus sp. Garcia 17150. RNAcentral describes it as "eukaryotic LSU rRNA". It matches the Rfam family "Eukaryotic large subunit ribosomal RNA", at positions 71 to 572 of the family's 3401-position model. The record is from RNAcentral. Lineage: Eukaryota; Fungi; Basidiomycota; Agaricomycetes; Boletales; Boletaceae.